CAAAAGACACUUCCCAACCCACACAGCGGGAGAGGGAGGUCGGUGUCUCGGUCUUCGUGCCGCAGGGCGCGGUGGGCCGAAGAUGGGGCUGCCGGCGAAUCGUGCCGGGCACAGCACGUGGUGGGCGACACUCAGUUGUUCUCGGUGCAGCGCCCCGGCACGCGGCCGGCGCAUCGGCCCUAAGGACCCAUUGAGCACCGCAGCGCACCGCCGCUCGG
This 218-nucleotide unclassified non-coding RNA is filed under the name Saccharum narenga. Its description in RNAcentral is "Narenga porphyrocoma sequence contains ITS2". The record is from RNAcentral. Lineage: Eukaryota; Viridiplantae; Streptophyta; Magnoliopsida; Poales; Poaceae.